Molecule: ribosomal RNA, 389 nt
Filed under: uncultured bacterium
Lineage: Bacteria
Description: bacterial SSU rRNA
Rfam family: Bacterial small subunit ribosomal RNA
Source: RNAcentral
UGGGGAAUUUUGGGCAAUGGGCGAAAGCCUGACCCAGCAACGCCGCGUGAAGGAUGAAGUAUUUCGGUAUGUAAACUUCGUAAGAAUAGGAAGAAUAAAUGACGGUACUAUUUGUAAGGUCCGGCUAACUACGUGCCAGCAGCCGCGGUAAUACGUAGGGACCAAGCGUUGUUCGGAUUUACUGGGCGUAAAGGGCGCGUAGGCGGUGUGUCAAGUCAGUUGUGAAAUCUCCGAGCUUAACUCGGAACGGUCAACUGAUACUGUCACACUAGAGUACAGAAGGGGCAAUCGGAAUUCUUGGUGUAGCGGUGAAAUGCGUAGAUAUCAAGAGGAACACCUGAGGCGAAGGCGGGUUGCUGGGCUGAUACUGACGCUGAGGCGCGAAAGCC